GACGAACGCUGGCGGCGUGCCUAAUACAUGCAAGUAGAACGCUGAAGGAGGAGCUUGCUUCUCUGGAUGAGUUGCGAACGGGUGAGUAACGCGUAGGUAACCUGCCUGGUAGCGGGGGAUAACUAUUGGAAACGAUAGCUAAUACCGCAUAAUAGUAGAUGUUGCAUGACAUUUGCUUAAAAGGUGCAAUUGCAUCACUACCAGAUGGACCUGCGUUGUAUUAGCUAGUUGGUGGGGUAACGGCUCAACAAGGCGACGAUACAUAGCCGACCUGGGAGGGGGAUCGGCCACACUGGGACUGAGACACGGCCCAGACUCCUACGGGAGGCAGCAGUAGGGAAUCUUCGGCAAUGGACGGAAGUCUGACCGAGCAACGCCGCGUGAGUGAAGAAGGGUUUCGGAUCGUAAAGCUCUGUUGUAAGGGAAGAACGAGUGUGAGAGUGGAAAGUUCACACUGUGACGGUAUCUUACCAGAAAGGGACGGCUAACUACGUG
RNAcentral lists this ribosomal RNA (495 nucleotides) under uncultured bacterium. RNAcentral's name for it is "partial 16S ribosomal RNA". It matches the Rfam family "Bacterial small subunit ribosomal RNA", at positions 28 to 507 of the family's 1533-position model. The record is from RNAcentral.